Molecule: unclassified non-coding RNA, 107 nt
Filed under: uncultured fungus
Lineage: Eukaryota; Fungi
Description: sequence contains ITS1
Source: RNAcentral
AAAAAGAUUGUUUACGUUUCUCACAGCUUGCUGCUGAGUGCGUAAAAGUGAUCAACUCCUAUGUAUUUUCUUGUCUAACCCUUCCUUACGUGUGAAAUACAUGUAAA